UGGUCAAGUUAUUAAGGGUGCAGGGCGGAUGCCUUGGCACUAGGAGCCGAUGAAGGACGUGAUAAGCUGCGAUAAGCUUCGGGGAGUUGCACGUAAACUUUGAUCCGAAGAUUUCCGAAUGAGGAAACUCACUUAGAGUAAUGUCUAAGUAUCAUUAAGUGAAUACAUAGCUUAAUGAGGGGAACUCAGGGAACUGAAACAUCUAAGUACCUGAAGGAAGAGAAAGAAAUUCGAUUCCGUAAGUAGCGGCGAGCGAACGCGGAUUAGCCCAAACCAAUAAAGUUUUCUUUAUUGGGGUUGCGGACAUAUCAUAACGAAGAGGUAUCGUAAUUGAAGAGGUUUGGAAAGACCCACCACAGAAGGUAAUAGUCCUGUAUGUUAAACGAGAAGACUUUAGAUAUGAUCCAGAGUACCACGGGACACGUGAAACCCUGUGGGAAGCAGGAGGGACCACCCUCCAAGGCUAAAUACUACCUAGUGACCGAUAGCGUAUAGUACCGUGAGGGAAAGGUGAAAAGAACCCCGGGAGGGGAGUGAAAUAGAACCUGAAACCCUGCACUUACAAGCUGUGGAAGCACAUUUCUUGUGUGACCGCGUACUUUUUGUAGAACGGGCCAACGAGUUACGUUAAGUAGCAAGGUUAAGCACUUAAGGUGCGGAGCCGUAGCGAAAGCGAGUUUUAACUGAGCGUUCAGUUACUUGACGUAGACCCGAAACCGGGCGACCUACCCAUGAGCAGGAUGAAGCGAAAGUAAAAUUUCGUGGAGGUCCGAACCCACGAGCGUUGAAAAGCUCGGGGAUGACUUGUGGGUAGCGGUGAAAUUCCAAUCGAGCCCGGAGAUAGCUGGUUCUCCCCGAAAUAGCUUUAGGGCUAGCCUCAAGGUGAGAGAUACGGAGGUAGAGCACUGAAUGUCCUAGGGGGUAUUGCACCUACCGAAGACUAUCAAACUCCGAAUGCCGUCAUCUUAUACUUGGGAGUCAGACUGUGGGUGAUAAGAUUCAUAGUCGAAAGGGCAACAGCCCAGAUCGUCAGCUAAGGUCCCUAAAUGUAAGUUAAGUGGUAAAGGAUGUGGGAUUGCACAGACAACCAGGAUGUUGGCUUAGAAGCAGCCACUCAUUCAAAGAGUGCGUAAUAGCUCACUGGUCGAGUGAUCCUGCGCCGAAGAUUUCCGGGGCUAAAACUUACUACCGAAGCUACGGCAUCAGUAAUGAUGGGUAGGGGAGCUUCCCAUACGGGUUGAAGCAUGACCGUAAGGACAUGUGGACAGUAUGGGAGUGAGAAUGUUGGCAUGAGUAGCGAGAUGUGGGUGAGAAUCCCACAGGCCGUAAACCCAAGGUUUCCAGGGGAAGGUUCGUCCGCCCUGGGUUAGUCGGGACCUAAGCUGAGGCCGAAAGGCGUAGGUGAUGGACAACAGGUUGAUAUUCCUGUACUACCGAUAACCAUUUGAGAGAAGGGAUGACACAGUAGGAUAAGCUAAGCACACUGUUGGUUAUGUGUGCCCAAGCAUUGAGGCAGUCAAAGUAGGCAAAUCCGCUUUGAUAAUGCUGGGAUGUGAUGGGGAGCGAAAUUUAGUAGCGAAGUAGCUGAUUUCACACUGUCAAGAAAAGUCUCUAUCGAGGUUAAAGGUACCCGUACCGCAAACCGACACAGGUGGGUGAGGAGAGUAUCCUAAGGCCAGCGAGAGAACUGUUGUUAAGGAACUCGGCAAAAUGACCCCGUAACUUAGGGAUAAGGGGUGCCACCAUCAGGUGGCCGCAGAGAAUAGGCCCAAGCGACUGUUUACCAAAAACAUAGGUUUCUGCUAAGUCGCAAGACGAUGUAUAGGAGCUGACGCCUGCCCGGUGCUGGAAGGUUAAGGGGAUCUGUUAGAGCAAUCGAAGCAGUGAACUUAAGCCCCAGUAAACGGCGGCCGUAACUAUAACGGUCCUAAGGUAGCGAAAUUCCUUGUCGGGUAAGUUCCGACCCGCACGAAAGGCGUAACGAUUUGGGCACUGUCUCAACAACAGACUCGGUGAAAUUGUAAUUCCGGUGAAGAUGCCGGAUACCUGCGACAGGACGGAAAGACCCCAUGGAGCUUUACUGUAGCUUGACAUUGGGUCUUGGUACUACAUGUACAGGAUAGGUGGGAGGCUUUGAAACCAGGACGCCAGUUUUGGCGGAGCCAUCCUUGGGAUACCACCCUUGUAGUACUGGGACUCUAACCAUAGGCCAUGAAUCUGGUCUUGGGACACUGUCAGGUGGGCAGUUUGACUGGGGCGGUCGCCUCCCAAAAGGUAACGGAGGCGCUCAAAGGUUCUCUCAGUACGGUCGGAAAUCGUACGUAGAGUGUAAAGGCAAAAGAGAGCUUGAUUGCAAGACAUACAGGUCGAGCAAGGAUGAAAAUCGGACUUAGUGAUCCGGUGGUUCUGCGUGGAAGGGCCAUCGCUCAACGGAUAAAAGCUACCCUGGGGAUAACAGGCUUAUCUCCCCCAAGAGUCCACAUCGACGGGGAGGUUUGGCACCUCGAUGUCGGCUCAUCACAUCCUGGGGCUGUAGUAGGUCCCAAGGGUUGGGCUGUUCGCCCAUUAAAGUGGUACGCGAGCUGGGUUCAGAACGUCGUGAGACAGUUCGGUCCCUAUCCGUCGCAGGCGUAGGAAAUUUGAGAAGACCUGUCCUUAGUACGAGAGGACCGGGAUGGACGUACCUCUGGUGUACCAGUUGUUCUGCCAAGGGCAUGGCUGGGUAGCUAUGUACGGAAUGGAUAAGCGCUGAAAGCAUCUAAGCGCGAAGCCAACUUCAAGAUAAGAUUUCCCACCGCAAGGGUAAGACCCCAGAAAGACUAUCUGGUUGAUAGGUCGAAGGUGUAAGUGCAGCAAUGUAUUUAGCUUAUCGAUACUAAUAGGUCGAGGACUUGACCAAU
RNAcentral lists this ribosomal RNA (2900 nucleotides) under Clostridioides difficile. RNAcentral describes it as "bacterial LSU rRNA". It matches the Rfam family "Bacterial large subunit ribosomal RNA". The record is from RNAcentral. Lineage: Bacteria; Bacillati; Bacillota; Clostridia; Peptostreptococcales; Peptostreptococcaceae.